CUGGGUGGUGCAAAGUGGUUAAUGCGCUUGGCUGCUAAUCAAAAGGUUGACAGUUUGAGUCCAUCCAGA
Molecule: transfer RNA, 69 nt
Filed under: Loxodonta africana (African savanna elephant)
Lineage: Eukaryota; Metazoa; Chordata; Mammalia; Proboscidea; Elephantidae
Rfam family: tRNA
About the family: Transfer RNA (tRNA) molecules are approximately 80 nucleotides in length. Their secondary structure includes four short double-helical elements and three loops (D, anti-codon, and T loops).
Source: Rfam by way of RNAcentral